Long non-coding RNA from Arachis stenosperma, 1119 nucleotides. RefSeq lists it as uncharacterized. The transcript has 3 exons. Lineage: Eukaryota; Viridiplantae; Streptophyta; Magnoliopsida; Fabales; Fabaceae. The record is from RefSeq and is a predicted model, not a curated record.
AAAACUUCCCUAAUUUCAUAAACCCUUACUAUUGAAACACUGUUCUCCUGGAUGGCCUCUGCGAUAAUCUCCGAUCCUCUUGUGUUCUCUGACGAUCUUCUCCGGUGACAUCUCCUCCGGCAUCGAUCUCCAUUGACGACAUCUCCUACAGCGACGAUUUCCUCCGGUGACGUCUCUUCCAGCUUCCUCUCCUUGUCGUCCUUUGUGUCGUCUCCACCAAAAUCGUCAACGCUUUCCUCUACGACAAUCCAGGUCAGCUUCCUUUCCUUCCUUUCCUCUCCUUUCCUUCCUUACCAUUCAGAUCCGCCGCUAGGGAUUGCAUUCCGCAGUAGAGGAAUUCCUUUGUCAACUUCCAAGCCAAAACCGGUGUAGAGGGACCAAAAUUUCAAGAGAUUGUUAAUAUUCGGUUAGGGGAUGGAACUUCUCGGCGUGGACAAGUUCUAGAAGUUGAUGGUGAGAAAGCUGUUGUUCAGGUACCUCUGGGAUUGACAAUAAGUUUACAACAGUGGAAUUUAUUGGAGAGGUAUAACUUGUUUUUAUUAUUGUCUACUUUAGCUUGAUGUCCAUGUGAAAUUGAGUUUGCAAAUUCAUUGUAAAUAUUUCAUGAAAUUUCUACUGUUUUGACUUCAUUAUUGUGUUUACUGAUGAGUGACAUGUUAAACAUUGUUCUGUUUGAUUAAUCGAGAGAGUUCAGUACCUCUUAAGCACUAAUUGUGUAAUUAUUUGAACUAGAAAUUAAAUUUUCUGUUUCUUAUGCAGUGAUCUUAGCAACAACCACAUUGGAGGGCCAUUCCAUUCAGUGUGUAAUAAACAUUGUGAAUAUACUGCUUAAAAAAUAAAUUAUAAACAUUUUGAAUAUACUGCUUUUGUGCUGUGUGCAGGCUGCCGUUAUGAAUUCACAGACCCUUGAAGAAGUUGCAAGACUUAAAAAGGUCCUUGCUUUUCUAGAUCUGAUGUUCACUUGUUCAAUUUUGAUUUUUACUCUCUACUGUUUACUUCUUAGAUGACCCUUUCUUCUUAUUGCUCAUUUUUGUAAAAAAGCAUUGAGAUUAUCAUGAACAUUAGACCAUGAUUUUCAAAGUUAAUAAUAAAAUGAGAUCUCAAAUGACUUGUUAUUUU